Molecule: long non-coding RNA, 252 nt
Filed under: Hordeum vulgare
Lineage: Eukaryota; Viridiplantae; Streptophyta; Magnoliopsida; Poales; Poaceae
Description: long non-coding RNA (HVUL_LNC001132)
Source: RNAcentral
GAAACUCUAACAAUUUCUAGCGAUUGAUGAACAUCAAGUAAAAGAAACCCACAGCAAUGACACAGCAAUAAAAUGCUCCAGCCAUCAUAUUUGCUUGCUGCUUCAAAUCGAUCAGUUGCUUUAGUUGCUUGCCCAUUUUCUUCAAUUCACACCCGAGUUCAGCUUGCCCAUAACAAUGACCUGAUCUGUCCGCCAAAUGGGGGGCGUGUUCCACAGCAAGCGGUGCCCCAAAAUUGAGCCCUUCGGUUGAUC